RNAcentral lists this ribosomal RNA (496 nucleotides) under uncultured bacterium. RNAcentral describes it as "partial 16S ribosomal RNA". It matches the Rfam family "Bacterial small subunit ribosomal RNA", at positions 28 to 506 of the family's 1533-position model. The record is from RNAcentral.
GAUGAACGCUGGCGGCGUGCCUAAUACAUGCAAGUCGAGCGAACGGACGAGAAGCUUGCUUCUCUGAUGUUAGCGGCGGACGGGUGAGUAACACGUGGAUAACCUACCUAUAAGACUGGGAUAACUUCGGGAAACCGGAGCUAAUACCGGAUGAUAUUUUGAACCGCAUGGUUCAAAAGUGAAAGACGGUCUUGCUGUCACUUAUAGAUGGAUCCGCGCUGCAUUAGCUAGUUGGUAAGGUAACGGCUUACCAAGGCAACGAUGCAUAGCCGACCUGAGAGGGGGAUCGGCCCCCCUGGAAUUGAGACCCGGCCCAGCCCCCUCCGGGGGGCCCCCGGGGGGACUUUUCCGCAAUGGGCGAAACCCUGCGGGACCAACCCCCCGGGAGUGAUGAAGUCUUUCGGUUCGUAAAACUCUUUUUUUAGGGAAGAACAUUUUUUUAAGUAACUGUCCCCCUCUUGCCGGUCCCUAAUCAAAAACCCCCGCCUACCUCCUU